CGCAGGUUUCUCCGCUUCGGGCUGAGCAGAGAGCCGACCCUGCUGCGACGCCUUCCUGUCCUUUUUGUCCAGCCAGAGGAAAGACAGCAUCAGGAAGAGACCGGAGGAGGCAACAACGGCACUGCAAGCGAUAAAGACGUAGAAAUAUUGUUGCGUGCGGUCCACCAGGAUCCCUGUAGCAAAGGAAACAGUGACAUAUAGAUCACUUUGCUGACCUGUAAUUACUCCAGCGGUGACGUAAAGCUCGGCGAUGGAGUUGGUAAACGAGCUGGCGGCCAUUCCGAGCCCACUCAGCACCCCGCCCAGCAUGACGGUGGCCCUGCAGCCGAGCUUCCCCACCAGCACGCUGCAGAACGGACCUGCGGAUCACAGGAAAUGCUCUUGGUGCAAUGCACACUUGUACAGGCAGAGGCUGCUUUCCAAAUCCUGCCUACUUCACAUAACCUGCUCAGCUGCAAUCUGAGAGGAGGAAUGAUCUAAAAAAAAAAAAUGAAGUGUUUGCUUUCUUGUAUUUACAAUCAUCAUGUUGAAUUUGUAAAGCUGUAAAACUGUUAGGCUGUGAGACAUUUUACGUCACGUUCAAAAAAUGUACAGAAAAGUUUCUCUGCUC
Poeciliopsis prolifica (blackstripe livebearer) is the source of this 610-nucleotide long non-coding RNA. RefSeq lists it as uncharacterized. The record is from RefSeq and is a predicted model, not a curated record. NCBI's taxonomy places the organism in Eukaryota, Metazoa, Chordata, Actinopteri, Cyprinodontiformes, Poeciliidae. The transcript has 2 exons.